Long non-coding RNA from Gorilla gorilla gorilla (western lowland gorilla), 803 nucleotides. RefSeq lists it as uncharacterized. The transcript has 2 exons. The record is from RefSeq and is a predicted model, not a curated record. NCBI's taxonomy places the organism in Eukaryota, Metazoa, Chordata, Mammalia, Primates, Hominidae.
AUGGCAGAACAAGAGCUACAGGUAAUUCUGCUUUUCCGUCCCCCCUCACCACUCUCGCUCGCUCGCCCGCUCGCGCCCUCACCUAGCCGGAAAGGUGGGAUAAGGGGGGGCCCCUCACAUGGGGCCCGAGCUCGGAGGCGGCCGGGCGGCGCGGAGUCCUCCUGGAUCGUGGCAAUGGGCAGACACAGAGCAGAAAGUGGCGGACUUGGGCGGCCACAGGUGCCUUAUUCCUGCCCUUCUUUGUGCCUGCUGGACAAGCCUCUCUCCUCUUUCUCAUGCUGACUGCGAGGAGUGGGACAGGGCACCUGAGACUCCAGCAACUCCAAGUGCCAACAUUGACCUGGCCUCUUGCUUUUAGCUGCUCACCUCUCCCUCACCCUUCCGGGAUCCUGGGGCCCCUCAUCAGCAUUUUCUUCUAGUGAUCUCUGUCAUCUCCAAGGCCCAGACCACUCUAGGGUUUUGUAGCGAAUUGGGCUCUUUCUGUACCACCGCUAUGGCCAUAUUAGAGUGUAGCUUUCACUGUUCUGUUAAACUAGUUUUCACUCCUCCAUCGACCCUCUCUAUUCUUCAGAAUUGUGUUGAAAUAUAGCUUUUGCUGAUGACUCCUCCUCUAUCUUCUUUGCCGCUUUGGAUUUAUCCCUUUAUGUUCUUUUACUAUCCUUUUCAGGGGAGAAUGAAGAUAAAUACGUGUGUUUAAUCCUUUAAUCUGAAGUCCAUUUCCAAAAUUAUACAAAAGAUUUUACCAAACUGUCCCAAAUUGUUUGUGCAAAGAAACCCAGUGUUUAUGGUUAAACCAUUCCUUU